GGGGUUGUAGUUUAAUGGUUAGAACGCUCACCUCCCAAGUGGGUAAUGCGAGUUCGAAUCCCGCCAGCUCCA
This is a transfer RNA of Clunio marinus, 72 nucleotides long. It matches the Rfam family "tRNA". From Rfam's summary of the family: Transfer RNA (tRNA) molecules are approximately 80 nucleotides in length. NCBI's taxonomy places the organism in Eukaryota, Metazoa, Arthropoda, Insecta, Diptera, Chironomidae. The record is from Rfam.